AUAAAUGUCAAUAGACCAAUAGGAACAUCGAGAGGGUAGAACGCUGUGUGACCAAGUAUUAUGGUCUAGCAUUUCUUAAUAACUUAUAAGUCCAACGAAGAUUUUAAACUGUUCAAAAAAUCUUAAUUAUGUUUUAUCUGUUUAAGAAAACCCAACGAACUUAACAUUUUGUCUAGCUUAUAUUUUUGUUCAAUUAUUAUUAUUACUAAGCAAGAGUCACAAAUAACCGCUCCCUCAUUUUGAGCCCUUGGAUCUCUUCAACUUUUGAUAAAGCCGCAUAAAAUCCAUAUUUACAGUUUUUUUACAGUUUCUUUGCUUCCUCCGCUUCUUCUUCCCCACGUUUGGCUAACCCCCUUCUUCUUCAACUGCUCACCUUCCGUUUUAUUGGCGAUCCAUGGCAGUUCGUCGUCACCCCACGAUCUCAACUAUCGCUGGUUGUCUCCUUCAACAAGCAUUCAAUCGGUUAAUCAGUCUCCUUCAAAGAGUGAUUCGGUUAUGACUUCAACCUCCUCCCAUUACGUCUUUAAUCCCCACUUCUCCAUAAUCCCUAAACAUCAUGUAGUUGUGGUAACUGCUCUGCCUAUAUAAGAGGUCGCUACUUUGAAUUCGCUAUUCCAUGAUUAGGGCUUAGGUCUUUUAGGCCGAAUUCGUAUCAAAGCAUGAGAGGGUUUCCAAGCGGAAUUGUGGCUAUGGUUGAUCAGCGGCAAUUUCCCUCUGUAAUUUGCCUAUGUAUAUAAAUGUUUCGAAUGAUGAUCCAAGUAUUUUCUUUGGUUUCAAUUUUGUAAUAAUGUAUUAUAUUGUCAAAGGAAACACACUUUCUUCUUUAGUUUC
Long non-coding RNA from Lactuca sativa (garden lettuce), 831 nucleotides. RefSeq lists it as uncharacterized. The record is from RefSeq and is a predicted model, not a curated record. NCBI's taxonomy places the organism in Eukaryota, Viridiplantae, Streptophyta, Magnoliopsida, Asterales, Asteraceae.